UACAGCAAGAGCCGCCCCUCCUGCCAGCAGCGUAGAUGCCAGCAGCCAGCCAUACCCACGCUUCUGGGAGCCGCUCUGGCAGCCGCAGGGCCGAUGGCAGCGCACAGGAUACAGGUCAGGAACAGUCACAGCCGGACACAUGACUCGGGGGCGGAGCUACACGGGACUCGGGGGUGGAGCUACACGGAACUCAGGGCAGGCUGCUGCUCACAUGCUGUGAGAGGGGAGAGGAGAAGCUGCUGCACAUCAUCCGGGGACGGCCCAGCCUGUGAGACUGCACUCUGCUGUAGUGUGUAAGUUAGAGUCAACAGAGGAAGGAGAGAGAGAGAGAGAGAGAGAGAGAGAGAAUCACACUCCCUAUCUGAGGUAGCCUCUGGACUCUGCAAUGACAAACUGCUUUUUUGCUGGUGUCUGAGAAUGAAGAAUAUGAGGAGGGACAAGUGAAUGAGCAGACUGUGGCUGGCUGCUACCAAGAUGAUUUACAGUUUCUAUGACAAUGCACUAAUUUGCAAGCCUGUCCCUACGCAGCCGGAUGACAUCAUACACCAAUGCACCGGUCCGUCCAUGUGAGCGAAACAAUGGCAGUGGCGGACCAUUGGUUGCCAUGGUCCCCAGAGCCAGAUGAGUGACGUCACUACCGGCGCGACGGGGGAGCCGCGACCGGAAGUGCUUGCGGCGGGAAGGCGGCCGGAGGGACCUGGGACUCACUGACGCAAGCAAGGAGGGGGGCAAUACUGGACUGGUAAACAGACAGUUCCGAAACCUGGAUGGAGUGGCCAGCUCAGAGUCCAGAUCUUAAUCCCACUGAGAACCUCUGGGACGAGUUCAAGCAAAGGCGUGCUCUAAACUGACUCGACCUUCAGUGUCGCAGAUGGUCAUUGUGCUUAAGGUGGAAUGGCAAAAGAUACCGCCUGCUGUUUUGAAUGAAAAAUAUAAUAUAAUAUAAAGCAAUUCAUACCUAAAUGGUAUAAUAGAAGGUCCACACUCUCAGCUGAGAAUUGCUUCAGAGAAGGAAAAUACGCCCUUCGACACGAUAAUUGGAAGCUCUACCUUUCCCGCACAUUCCAGGGACGUUUUACUAAGUAUAUUUCGAUAUUUAAAUCUCUUAAGCGCCUGUUAUUCUGGUGUCCCACACAUUUGUAUUCAAAAAUUGUGGUAUUUGAACUUUUUGGUGAGGUUCAGGUGUGGUGAACCGGCCUACGGGCUGCUUUUUUUCUGCGCCAUUUGCUAGGGAUUCACAACAACCUUUUUUUUAUACCGCCUGCUGUUGUCUAGGAACUUGUGGACAGUUUACCAAGAAGGGUGUCUGCAGUAAUCACUACACGUGGUAGACCUACAAAUUACUG
Molecule: long non-coding RNA, 1346 nt
Organism: Pseudophryne corroboree (corroboree frog)
Lineage: Eukaryota; Metazoa; Chordata; Amphibia; Anura; Myobatrachidae
Exons: 5
Source: RefSeq, a predicted model, not a curated record